UUCCAUCCAUCUCACCCCCCAAAUCUGAACCCAAAAUUAAUUUGUGCUCACUUCUCAACCGUUGGAUCUCAUCUCUUGCCCACCUUAUAUAUAACACACUUCCCCCAAAACACAAAAACCUAACCCUAAUCUCUCACACUGUGUGCUGCCUUUAUUCGUGUGCAAGCACUUGAUGCAGUCCCACAAAGAGGAUUUAUAUUUGAGGUGGUCAAUGGAGAUGAGAAGAUUUCAGAUUGGCAAGGGUGUAUGGCUAGAUUGAUGGAGAAAGCUGGACAGCAGCUUCAAUAAUAACACCCAAACCAUGCUAAAAAAUGUGCCAAUCAUUUAUGUUUACUUGUUUUUCUUUGUUGUUGGUGAUGUUCUCAUGAAAUGUUUUGCAAGAGAAAAGGGCAUUACAAGUGAGUUUGUUUUACACAUGAAUUGCAUAACCAUUAACCAGUAAUGAUUCAGAAAACAUUAGUGUUAGUGCUAAAUUUCUGAUCUCAAGCAGUUGCCAAAGCCCGACACAGAUAAUCUAGUAGGCUACAUCAACUUUUUUCCACUCCUGUUUUGAUAUGUCAUGCAUAAUCGUCUUUUAAUGUCUCUAUUAGCGGCAUAUGACAUCUUAGAAAUGUUAUUGCAAGAUGUUUUCUCAUGUAAUUAAGGCAUAUGUAGCGUGGAGAAUUCACAGAAGGUGUAUUGGGUCACAUUAGUGUAUGAUUUUCUUCUUCUUCUAUUAGUGUGGAGAUUUCAACAGUAGUUUUUUUU
Long non-coding RNA from Quercus lobata, 747 nucleotides. RefSeq lists it as uncharacterized. Lineage: Eukaryota; Viridiplantae; Streptophyta; Magnoliopsida; Fagales; Fagaceae. The transcript is spliced from 3 exons. The record is from RefSeq and is a predicted model, not a curated record.